GGAAGUAUGGUUGCAAAGCUGACACUUAAAGGAAUUGACGGAAGGGCACCACCAGGAGUGGAGCUUGCGGCUUAAUUUGACUCAACACGGGAAAGCUCACCCGGCCCGGACACUGUAAGGAUUGACAGAUUGAUAGCUCUUUCUUGAUUCGGUGGUUGGUGGUGCAUGGCCGUUCUUAGUUGGUGGAGCGAUUUGUCUGGUUUAUUCCGAUAACGAACGAGACUCCGGCCUACUAAAUAGUGGCGGGAUCCGAGCUGUCCCGUUUACUUCUUAGAGGGAUAAUCGGUGUUCAGCCGAAUGAAAAGGAGCAAUAACAGGUCUGUGAUGCCCUUAGAUGUUCGGGGCUGCACGCGCGCUACACUGGAGGAAUCAGCGUGCCUAACCCUUUGCCGAAAGGCAUGGGUAAACCCUUGAAAAUCCUCCGUGACCGGGAUCGGGAAUUGCAAUUAUUUCCCUUGAACGAGGAAUUCCCAGUAAGUGUGGGUCAUAGGCUCGCGCUGAUUACGUCCCUGCCCUUUGUACACACCGCCCGUCGCUGCCCGGGACUGAGCCGUUUCGAGAAAAGCAGGGACCGCGGCUGGCCGACGUUUCGGCGUUGGCCUUCUGUGGAGACCGCC
Molecule: ribosomal RNA, 617 nt
Filed under: Nematoda environmental sample
Lineage: Eukaryota; Metazoa; Nematoda
Description: SSU rRNA
Rfam family: Eukaryotic small subunit ribosomal RNA
Source: RNAcentral